RNAcentral lists this unclassified non-coding RNA (387 nucleotides) under Hevea brasiliensis (rubber tree). Lineage: Eukaryota; Viridiplantae; Streptophyta; Magnoliopsida; Malpighiales; Euphorbiaceae. The record is from RNAcentral.
GAACUUGCGCAAUGUUUGAGAUGGUAAUGGCUACUUUCAUGCAAUAACUGAUUUUUUGUUUGUCGGUUUUACCAAAUCUUUCCAUGUUAUGCAUUUUGGACAUUAGCUACUAGAUAUUCUGGUUGUUGAUGGGCUCUACCGCCAUAAACUCUGAUCUUGAACUUCAUGCUCAUCUUACAGCACUAGUGAGUAUAAGUAUGAGUUCUUUAAGAAUAACAAAUUUUUGCUCAGUUAUUGUUAGACAGCUACAAGGCCAGUGCACUUUUGCUCUUCUUGUUAUUAUAAUUUUUUUUUUCAUGCUUAUUUUCCGUUGCUUUUAGAUGUGUUGAACAUUUGGUUACUAUAUUUUUUUUUUUUGAAUUAGGGUUCUAGUGGAGGUGUAGAUGG